UAAUAUAUUAAAUCUGGCUUCAUAAGUUAAUAAUAAUAUUAUCUUAUAUUUAUUUACUUAAAACAAAUUAUUUUUUUUCUAAGUGAUAAUAAUUUUUUGCCUAACCCUAUGGUAAGCCUUGAACAAGAGAAGGGGAUACACUAGGGGUAGGAGGUUUCAACACAAUGGGGUUAAAAGAAAAAAAUUAAAAAAAGAUACUUUUACAAUUUAACUGAUAUAGAUGCCGGGUUCAAUUCAUAACUAUUUUAGAGAAUGCUACCAAUAACCUUGGCUCAAAGCCAUGAAACAUAAUACAAAUCGUCCUCAAUAAUAAAGAAACGUAUGCAAAUUAGAAAUAGCAUUAAGUGAAUAAGCAAUAUCAGCAUGACAGUCAAAUCAGAAGAAACAACAUCAAUCAAGCAACAAUUAAGCAAUUAACCAAAUCAGAAGCAACGAGAAGCGUAAUUCAAUUGGAGGAUUAUAUUGAAUUGUUCAAUAACUCUUGAAUGCAAAGAAGUGUAGAACAGGACCUUGAGGCGGCUAAGUAAUGAGUGAGUGAUGAAAAUGUGAGAAGACAGCAGCAGAGUGAUUGAGUAAGUCACCGAGAACCAAGAAGGGAAGGAAGAUGAAGAGACACAGAGAGAACUCAAAAGAAAUGAGGGGAUGAGGCCGCGAGGGAGAAGCGGAGAAAAAUUAAGGCUAAGAUUCCGUUUGCA
This 695-nucleotide long non-coding RNA is filed under the name Arachis ipaensis. RNAcentral describes it as "long non-coding RNA (AIPA_LNC001164)". Lineage: Eukaryota; Viridiplantae; Streptophyta; Magnoliopsida; Fabales; Fabaceae. The record is from RNAcentral.